CGGCUGGCGGCGUGCCUAAUACAUGCAAGUCGAACGGUCUUUCUAUGGAAGCUUGCUUCCACUGAGAAGAUAGUGGCGAACGGGUGAGUAACACGUGGGUAACCUGCCCAUAAGAGGGGGAUAACAUCCGGAAACGGGUGCUAAUACCGCAUAGUUUUCUUGAUCGCAUGAUUGAGAAAGGAAAGACGGCCUUUGUGCUGUCGCUUAUGGAUGGACCCGCGGCGUAUUAGUUAGUUGGUGAGGUAACGGCUCACCAAGACGAUGAUACGUAGCCGACCUGAGAGGGUGAUCGGCCACAUUGGGACUGAGGCACGGCCCAAACUCCUACGGGAGGCAGCAGUAGGGAAUCUUCCGCAAUGGACGAAAGUCUGACGGAGCAACGCCGCGUGAGUGAAGAAAAGGUUUUCGGAUCGUAAAACUCUGUUGUCAGAGAAGAACAAGUUGGAGAGUAACUGCUCCAGCCUUGACGGUAUCUGACCAGAAAGCCACGGCUAACUACGUGCCAGCCGCUGC
Molecule: ribosomal RNA, 513 nt
Filed under: uncultured bacterium
Lineage: Bacteria
Description: bacterial SSU rRNA
Rfam family: Bacterial small subunit ribosomal RNA
Source: RNAcentral